AUUAGAAAUGUAUCAUAAGUGUGGACUGCUGACAAUAUUAGCUGUAGCUUAGAAGUUUUGUAAGUCAUGACAUUUCAUUUCAUGCAACACUAAGCGCAACACAUGCCUCAGCGCUACGCUUAAUACUGCAUCUCAAUAUACAAACGACAAUACAUUGAGCAUCAAGAGAGGUUUCCUAGUCGGCAAUGUCCAACCUCCGCAUAUUUUUUCGCAGAUUUGUGUUGAUACCAUGAGUGUCAAUUCGAUCUCAGCUGACAAUUCUAUCUCAGGAUCUACUCGACAUAUAAAAAUCAGCUGCUAUAUUUUUCAUUCGAUCUACGCAAGCUACGCAUUGGCCGAUACUGCCAUCAUGCAUGUUUAUCAUUUUAGAAGCCGAGCAAAAUACUUUGUUUGAGAAACUAGUUAAAUAAAACAGCAUUAUGAAUGUGAGACGAUCUAAUCAUAGCAAGGCUAUAAACAGAUUCUCCAUAACCUAUGAGGAAUAUGCGCGUAUGCAGCAACAAUCAAUUCAUUAAGCAAAAAAAAGAGACGGGUGUUGACACAAAACAACGUGUAUCUAAUUUUGGCAAUAAUCGGAAAUUUUUCACACUUAGCUGACUACAGGGGCUCUUAGUAAGCAACUGCAUAAAUCCAGCAGAACGAUAGAUAACUAUAAAAAUUUUGCAUGAUCUAACUCAUUACUAAAGAUAUACAACAUGCAAUGAAGUAAAAUAAAU
Bactrocera oleae (olive fruit fly) is the source of this 716-nucleotide non-coding RNA. The record is from RefSeq and is a predicted model, not a curated record. NCBI's taxonomy places the organism in Eukaryota, Metazoa, Arthropoda, Insecta, Diptera, Tephritidae.